This 468-nucleotide ribosomal RNA is filed under the name uncultured bacterium. RNAcentral describes it as "partial 16S ribosomal RNA". It matches the Rfam family "Bacterial small subunit ribosomal RNA", at positions 28 to 507 of the family's 1533-position model. The record is from RNAcentral.
GACGAACGCUGGCGGCGUGCUUAACACAUGCAAGUCGAACGGAAAGGCCCUGCUUUUGUGGGGUGCUCGAGUGGCGAACGGGUGAGUAACACGUGAGUAACCUGCCCUUGACUUUGGGAUAACUUCAGGAAACUGGGGCUAAUACCGGAUAGGAGCUCCUGCUGCAUGGUGGGGGUUGGAAAGUUUCGGCGGUUGGGGAUGGGCUCGCGGCUUAUCAGCUUGUUGGUGGGGUAGUGGCUUACCAAGGCUUUGACGGGUAGCCGGCCUGAGAGGGUGACCGGCCACAUUGGGACUGAGGUACGGCCCAGACUCCUACGGGAGGCAGCAGUGGGGAAUAUUGCACGAUGGGCGGAAGCCUGAUGCAGCAACGCCGCGUGCGGGAUGACGGCCUUCGGGUUGUAAACCGCUUUCGCCUGUGACGAAGCGUGAGUGACGGUAAUGGGUAGAGAAGCACCGGCUAACUACGUG